Molecule: ribosomal RNA, 253 nt
Filed under: uncultured bacterium
Lineage: Bacteria
Description: partial 16S ribosomal RNA
Rfam family: Bacterial small subunit ribosomal RNA
Source: RNAcentral
UACGAAGGGUGCAAGCGUUAUCCGGAUUCAUUGGGUUUAAAGGGUGCGUAGGUGGGGCGUUAAGUCAGUGGUGAAAUCCUGCAGCUCAACUGUAGACUUGCCAUUGAUACUGGCGUUCUUGAGUGCGCUUGAAGUAGGCGGAAUGUGCCGUGUAGCGGUGAAAUGCUUAGAUAUGGCACAGAACACCAAUUGCGAAGGCAGCUUACUAAGGCGAUACUGACACUGAGGCACGAAAGCGUGGGGAUCGAACAGG